Molecule: ribosomal RNA, 503 nt
Filed under: Paracoccaceae bacterium
Lineage: Bacteria; Pseudomonadati; Pseudomonadota; Alphaproteobacteria; Rhodobacterales; Paracoccaceae
Description: bacterial SSU rRNA
Rfam family: Bacterial small subunit ribosomal RNA
Source: RNAcentral
UGCCGCGUGAGUGAUGAAGGCCCUAGGGUCGUAAAGCUCUUUCGCCGGGAAGAUAAUGACGGUAGCAGGUAAAGAAACCCCGGCUAACUCCGUGCCAGCAGCCGCGGUAAUACGGAGGGGGUUAGCGUUGUUCGGAAUUACUGGGCGUAAAGCGCACGUAGGCGGAUCGGAAAGUUGGGGGUGAAAUCCCGGGGCUCAACCCCGGAACGGCCUCCAAAACUAUCGGUCUAGAGUUCGAGAGAGGUGAGUGGAAUUCCGAGUGUAGAGGUGAAAUUCGUAGAUAUUCGGAGGAACACCAGUGGCGAAGGCGGCUCACUGGCUCGAUACUGACGCUGAGGUGCGAAAGUGUGGGGAGCAAACAGGAUUAGAUACCCUGGUAGUCCACACCGUAAACGAUGAAUGCCAGUCGUCGGGUAGCAUGCUAUUCGGUGACACACCUAACGGAUUAAGCAUUCCGCCUGGGGAGUACGGUCGCAAGAUUAAAACUUAAAGGAAAUUGACGG